UGGGGAAUAUUGCACAAUGGGCGCAAGCCUGAUGCAGCAACGCCGCGUGAGGGACGACGGCCUUCGGGUUGUAAACCUCUUUUAGUAGGGAAGAAGCGAAAGUGACGGUACCUGCAGAAAAAGCACCGGCUAACUACGUGCCAGCAGCCGCGGUAAUACGUAGGGUGCAAGCGUUGUCCGGAAUUAUUGGGCGUAAAGAGCUCGUAGGCGGUUUGUCGCGUCUGCUGUGAAAUCCCGAGGCUCAACCUCGGGCCUGCAGUGGGUACGGGCAGACUAGAGUGCGGUAGGGGAGAUUGGAAUUCCUGGUGUAGCGGUGGAAUGCGCAGAUAUCAGGAGGAACACCAAUGGCGAAGGCAGAUCUCUGGGCCGUAACUGACGCUGAGGAGCGAAAGCAUGGGGAGCGAACAGG
This 409-nucleotide ribosomal RNA is filed under the name uncultured prokaryote. Its description in RNAcentral is "bacterial SSU rRNA". It matches the Rfam family "Bacterial small subunit ribosomal RNA", at positions 355 to 776 of the family's 1533-position model. RNAcentral also lists the same sequence under 1 other name. The record is from RNAcentral.